GCUCUCUCUCGCUCUCUCACCUGGAAGCAGCUCUAGAGGAUGAUGGGGUUGAGACAUGCAUGGGUGGUGAUGGUGGUGAUGGUGAUGGUGGAGGGGCAGGGACACCAGGCCACCCAACUCCACCAGGGCAACCAACACCAGCAAGCACCCUACCAGCCAAUCCACCAGGCACCCCAUCAACCAGCCCGCCCGAACACAUUCCUCCAGGGCUUCCAGGCAGGGGGGCAUCUACCAGGCGGCGCGGCGUACCCUCAACAACCACCAAGCAUUGAGAUUCUACCAGAUGGGCGAAGGGUGAUUCAACCAGCUAGCUUGGAGGUUCCCCAGGGGCCACCAGGGGCUCAACCAAUUAGCUACGAGAUCCUACCCGGUGGUCAACGAGUUCCCCAGCCGAUCAGCAUUGAGGUUCACCCGGGUGGUCACUUCCCCCAGCAAGGAGGGAAUUACGGACAGGGCCAAGGAUUUCACCCACCCGGUAAUGCCCCAGGUGCCUACCCCGGGGCCCAAGUGCACUCCCAGCCAGCCCCAGUCCCACACCACGCCGCUCCCCCAGCCCAUAAUGUAUACCCCGGUGCCCCCUCCCCUGGGUUUGCUGGGGGUCAAGGGGGUCAGGGUGGGCAUGGGGGGCAGCAGGGGGGGCAACAGGGGGGGCAGGGUUAUACUGGGGUGUAAGAUUUGAGGAUUUUUUUUUCUUGUUAUGAAAUUGUAUAUCUUUUAUUUCUUGCUCUUUUCCUUUCUUUCUUUCUUUCUUUCUUUCUUUCUUUUCUUUCUUUCUUUCUUUCUUUCUUUCUUUCUUCUCAAGGCAAUUUCAACUUACACACACACACACACACACACACACACAUGUAGUCCUGUGUGUGUGCGUGUGUACGUGUCUGUGUGCGUGCGUGUGUGUGUACGUGUAAUUCUAUGUACGUAAUUCUCAUGUACGUUUUAAUAAAGAAGGAAAUUAA
Long non-coding RNA from Eriocheir sinensis (Chinese mitten crab), 953 nucleotides. RefSeq lists it as uncharacterized. The transcript has 2 exons. Lineage: Eukaryota; Metazoa; Arthropoda; Malacostraca; Decapoda; Varunidae. The record is from RefSeq and is a predicted model, not a curated record.